UACGAAGGGUGCAAGCGUUAAUCGGAAUUACUGGGCGUAAAGCGCGCGUAGGCGGUUUGAUAAGUUGGAUGUGAAAGCCCCGGGCUCAACCUGGGAAUUGCAUCCAAAACUGUCUGACUAGAGUACGGUAGAGGGUGGUGGAAUUUCCUGUGUAGCGGUGAAAUGCGUAGAUAUAGGAAGGAACAUCAGUGGCGAAGGCGACCACCUGGACUGAUACUGACGCUGAGGUGCGAAAGCGUGGGGAGCAAACAGG
RNAcentral lists this ribosomal RNA (253 nucleotides) under uncultured bacterium. Its description in RNAcentral is "partial 16S ribosomal RNA". It matches the Rfam family "Bacterial small subunit ribosomal RNA", at positions 524 to 776 of the family's 1533-position model. The record is from RNAcentral.